CACCGCCCGUCACAUCACGAAAGCAGGCUGCACUAGAAGUCGCCGCGCUAACCCGCAAGGGACGCCGGUGCCCAAGGUGUGGUUUGUGAUUGGGUG
RNAcentral lists this ribosomal RNA (96 nucleotides) under uncultured bacterium. RNAcentral describes it as "partial 16S ribosomal RNA". The record is from RNAcentral.